UGGGGAAUAUUGCACAAUGGAGGGAACUCUGAUGCAGCGACGCCGCGUGAGUGAUGGAGGACUUCGUUUCGUAAAACUCUGUUCUAUGGGAAGAAAAGGACUGUACCAUAGGAGAAAGCUCCGGCUAAAUACGUGCCAGCAGCCGCGGUAAUACGUAUGGAGCGAGCGUUGUCCGGAAUUAUUGGGCGUAAAGGGUGCGCAGGCGGCUUUACAAGUUGGAUGUGAAAUAUUGUGGCUCAACCACAAACGUGCAUCCAAAACUGCAAAGCUUGAGUUAAGGAGAGGUAAGUGGAAUUCCUGGUGUAGCGGUGGAAUGCGUAGAUAUCAGGAGGAAUACCGGUGGCGAAGGCGACUUACUGGACUUAAACUGACGCUCAGGCACGAAAGCGUGGGGAGCAAACAGG
Molecule: ribosomal RNA, 404 nt
Filed under: Fusobacteriota bacterium
Lineage: Bacteria; Fusobacteriati; Fusobacteriota
Description: Fusobacteria bacterium partial 16S ribosomal RNA
Rfam family: Bacterial small subunit ribosomal RNA
Source: RNAcentral